GACGAACCGUGCGAACGUUGUUCGGAAUCACUGGGCUUAAAGGGCGCGUAGGCGGGCUGCCAAGUCUGGGGUGAAAUCCUCCGGCUCAACCGGAGAACGGCCUGGGAUACUGGCGGCCUCGAGGGGGGUAGGGGCAUGCGGAACUAUGGGUGGAGCGGUGAAAUGCGUUGAUAUCCAUAGGAACUCCGGUGGCGAAAGCGGCGUGCUGGACCUCUUCUGACGCUGAAGCGCGAAAGCCAGGGGAGCGAACGGG
Molecule: ribosomal RNA, 253 nt
Filed under: uncultured bacterium
Lineage: Bacteria
Description: partial 16S ribosomal RNA
Rfam family: Bacterial small subunit ribosomal RNA
Source: RNAcentral